Non-coding RNA from Acanthosepion pharaonis, 99 nucleotides. Lineage: Eukaryota; Metazoa; Mollusca; Cephalopoda; Sepiida; Sepiidae. The record is from the annotation of a GenBank genome assembly.
AUUGAAACACCAGUUCUUGUAUGAUCACCAAAGUUAAGCAAUGUUGAGCUUGGUUAGUAUCUAGAUGAGUGUCUAUUUGGGAAUACCUGGUGCUGUAAG